Molecule: long non-coding RNA, 1055 nt
Organism: Hippopotamus amphibius kiboko
Lineage: Eukaryota; Metazoa; Chordata; Mammalia; Artiodactyla; Hippopotamidae
Exons: 5
Source: RefSeq, a predicted model, not a curated record
CGAAAGCUUAAACACUUUAAAUCUUACAGGGGGAAGGGAGCCUCUGAGAAGAUUUAAAGGAAAUACUCCCCAAGACAGAAAGGAUAUUGAUAUUGUUUUGGGGGCCGAGGAAGGUGACAAGAAGCUGACAGCGUUCACCUGAAGAGGCUGGGCCAAAGCAGUGAGCCAGCCACCUGCUUCCAGGGGACCAUGGACAUUGACAUCACCAGCAGCAGACACUUGCCACCUUUUCCUUGUGUUCUAAGCACCAGGGGGAAGAAUGGAACCAAAUUUUCCCAGUCGAGACUAUAAACAUGCUGUCAGAUGCCUAGAAAGCCCGCUUAGCUAUCCAAGGGGGCACGGGUUUGAUCCCUGGUUGGAGAAGUUCCUCAUGCUGCGCAGUGCUGUGUGGCCAAAAAGAAGAAAAAAAAAUGCAGCAACCUUUACCAUCAAAGACUCUUGGGACACUGGGCUGCUGUCAUGCAAGACUCCAGUUACAGAGAUGAAGAGGAUGCAUUCCCUGCCAUUGGGUUACAGCCUUGGAGAAGAAGCAGGAAGGUGGACCUUCAAGGAGAAGCAAGAUUUCACAGGUAGAAAAGAUGGAAGGACAUUUUCCAGGCUAAGGGAGUUGCAUGGAAACAUGAAAGCAAGCAAUGGGUUCCAGGAAAAGCAACGCUUGGGAAAUAGCCUGAAAGGAGACAGGAUGCAUGGAGUGAUGAAGAAAAUCAUGGGUAGGGCAUCUGAGAUCCACAGGAAGAAACUCAGCAACCUUCCCAUGGAUGUUCAGGUGGGCGGCAGUGCAGGACCACUGAAAGAGCAUGGUAUUCUAAGUCAGGCACACCAAAGUUUGCCUCUCAACUCUAGCUCAUUAUCAGUGACUGACAUUGAACAAAUUCUCUCACAUCGUUGAUCCUUAUUUUCAUAAUGUAUAAACUGAAGAUAAUAUUUUUACCUCUCAGGCUGAUGUAAAGUUUAAAUAAGAUGUUCAGAAAGUGCCAAACAAGCACACAUGACAAACCUUCAUUAAAUGUAGCCCCUUCCUUUACCCCCUCAGGUAGAAUAAAUUAGGAAACAUA